Molecule: non-coding RNA, 89 nt
Organism: Fusarium poae
Lineage: Eukaryota; Fungi; Ascomycota; Sordariomycetes; Hypocreales; Nectriaceae
Source: Rfam
GGUCCUAUAGUCUAGUGGUUAGGACGUUGGAUUUUGAUGAACCAUCGAAACUACUUCCGAAGUCCCCGGUUCGAACCCGGGUAGGACCU